AAACCGCUCGUGGGUCUCCAGGCAGAAGGUGGUGAUGGAGACCAGGAUGAAGAAGAGGGAGGCAAAAGCCACGUACUGCAGAGAGGAACAGAGAAGACACUUGCAGAUCCAAUGGUCAACAUCUAAAAAGCUGAGUUCAUCGAAGUACCAAGAGACCCAAUGAGACCAGGAACAGAACCCCACAUGUGCGACUGUGCUUGAUAACUCCCAUAGCAAAGAUCCUUCAGACCAGAGAAUGCAUUUGACAAUUCAUUGUACCAUUUACAAUGACCAAGUUUGGCCCCAAAGAGCAAAUGAGAACAUCCUUCUCUCUCCCUUCAUUGUAAAGGCUGCAGGGGAAGGAAGGGGUUGUGCAAUGUUGUACAUACUGUCAGACAUGGUAAAAAUGUUGGUAGAUUUUGUUGAACUGCCUGCCUGCCCCCUUUCUUUUUUUAAUCUUUGGAUAUGAGAGAAGGAGGUGUAUAUGUAGGAAAACAUGUGAUGAAAAACAAAUUUGGCAAUAAAAAUAAGACAUUUUAAAAGAGACAAAACGGCCCUUGUAAAAAAUACACUUAAAAGCCCCCAAUCCAGAGAUCAUGGAUGAGAACCCUGUGUGCCAGAGGACACACUGCCUCCUCAGAUGAGUUAAUUUUCUAUUUGAGGAGCACGCCUAAAUUAGCAAAGUGUUUUUCCUAAAUAAAUGUGGUGUUUUUUUUUCUAAAAUGGGCUAAAACAACUCACUCACAUGUCCAAGCAUCCCCUCCUGUGUGUGUUUACUAAGGUAUGCUCUGUUGUAGAUGUGACUAUAGCAGAAUUUGCUGCAGCAAGGUCACACAUUCAGCUGGGAGCUGUUAGCCCAGCCUUCUAUAGAUUCAAGGGCAGCCUAAAAGUUAAGUCAUCUGCUGAAUUCUAGGGAUAAUAGCUAGCCUUUAUAUAUAGCACUUUAAGAUUUUUCAAAGUGGUGUGAAUAGUUAUGUCAUUUGGUCCUCAUAACAACCCCUUGAAGUAGGCAUUAUAAUUAUUAUCAUUCUUAUUUUACAGAAAAGUAAACUGAGAUUUGGCCAGUAACAUAGUUACAUGG
Molecule: long non-coding RNA, 1060 nt
Organism: Sarcophilus harrisii (Tasmanian devil)
Lineage: Eukaryota; Metazoa; Chordata; Mammalia; Dasyuromorphia; Dasyuridae
Exons: 2
Source: RefSeq, a predicted model, not a curated record